CUAUGGCCAUACCACCCUGAAUGCACCUGAUCUCGUCUGAUCUCAGAAGCUAAGCGGGAUCAGGUCUGGUUAGUACUUGGAUGGGAGGAGUCAUAACAGCAGCAAAGU
This 108-nucleotide ribosomal RNA is filed under the name Rattus norvegicus (Norway rat). The record is from RNAcentral. Lineage: Eukaryota; Metazoa; Chordata; Mammalia; Rodentia; Muridae.